CAUGUCCAUUAGAAUAAGCAACUAUACAGUGAAACUGCGAAUGGCUCAUUAAAUCAGUUAUCGUUUAUUUGAUAGUACCUUACUACUUGGAUAACCGUGGUAAUUCUAGAGCUAAUACAUGCUAAAAAUCCCGACCUCUGGAAGGGAUGUAUUUAUUAGAUAAAAAACCAAUGCCUUUCGGGCUCUUUGGUGAUUCAUGAUAACUUAACGAAUCGCAUGGCCUUGCGCCGGCGAUGGUUCAUUCAAAUUUCUGCCCUAUCAACUUUCGAUGGUAGGAUAGUGGCCUACCAUGGUUUCAACGGGUAACGGGGAAUUAGGGUUCUAUUCCGGAGAGGGAGCCUGAGAAACGGCUACCACAUCCAAGGAAGGCAGCAGGCGCGCAAAUUACCCAAUCCCGACACGGGGAGGUAGUGACAAUAAAUACUGAUACAGGGCUCUUUCGGGUCUUGUAAUUGGAAUGAGUACAAUUUAAAUCCCUUAACGAGGAACAAUUGGAGGGCAAGUCUGGUGCCAGCAGCCGCGGUAAUUCCAGCUCCAAUAGCGUAUAUUAAAGUUGUUGCAGUUAAAAAGCUCGUAGUUGAACCUUGGGCCUGGCUGCUCGGUCCGCCUAACCGCGUGCACUGAUGCGGCCGGGUCUUUCCUUCUGGCUAACCCCAUGCCCUUCACUGGGUGUGGUGGGGAUCCAGGACUUUUACUUUGAAAAAAUUAGAGUGUUCAAAGCAGGCCUUUGCUCGAAUACAUUAGCAUGGAAUAAUAGAAUAGGACGUGCGGUUCUAUUUUGUUGGUUUCUAGAGCCACCGUAAUGAUUAAUAGGGAUAGUCGGGGGCAUCAGUAUUCAAUUGUCAGAGGUGAAAUUCUUGGAUUUAUUGAAGACUAACUACUGCGAAAGCAUUUGCCAAGGAUGUUUUCAUUAAUCAGUGAACGAAAGUUAGGGGAUCGAAGACGAUCAGAUACCGUCGUAGUCUUAACCAUAAACUAUGCCGACUAGGGAUCGGGCGGUGUCCAACUUCAUGACCCGCUCGGCACCUUACGAGAAAUCAAAGUUUUUGGGUUCUGGGGGGGAGUAUGGUCG
This is a ribosomal RNA of 1072 nucleotides. It matches the Rfam family "Eukaryotic small subunit ribosomal RNA", at positions 54 to 1131 of the family's 1831-position model.